GGGGCUCAUGUGUAGAAUUCAGAGGAAUCUGUGAACUUGGCUGGGGGAAAAAAAAUCUCUGUUUAACAUCUUCUUCGAUUACGAAUGUAGGCAGCAAACCGCAGUGUAUUUGCAGUCCCUCCGACAUUGUCAUCAGUAGAAAUCACAGAUAUUUUCAUAUCACAUUUCAGCUGCCAUAGAUAUCUGGAACUAUGAUUUAUGCCCAUCACAGCUUUGAAAUUACAGCAGUUAUUAUACCUGCUGCUAGAGCUUAUUAUUUAAUGUGUUAAUAAGGAACAGAUACUUCUGUAUUACACAUUCAUUUUUUACAAAAAUCAUUAUAUUUCAGUGUAAUUGGUUUUCUUUAUAGUCAUGCUAAGUAUUUUAUUUUAUAUAUUCUAAAACGUUCCGAGAAAGGGUCCCUGGGCUUAAUCAGUCUGCUGAAGGGGUUCAUGGCAUGAAAAGGGUUAACACUCCUGGCGGAAAAUCAGUAAGCUUUAAUUCCCAAUUUCCCACCCUCCCUAACCCUAAUCUUUCAUAUAUCCAUCUAUCGCUGUCUAAUUAGUGCAAGACAUUCUUGAGCAGUAGUAAAUUUCAUUUAAUAGUUUGGCAAAUUUGCAAAAGCACAUAAUUUGUGGUUUGGGUAGAAGGUUUUUAAUAUAUACCAAGAGGUAAAUUUACAAAUUGCAGGCAUACACUGGCAACCAGUUCGGUAAUUUCUAUCAGCCCGCAAACCCACCAGCCCCCGCGUUGACUGCCCAUCCCAUAGAAGCCAGUUCAUUGAAACAGCCACAGAAUGGAGAAUUAAGUUCUUGAGAGGUUAAGGAGCUUGUGUAGGCUAAGUGAUGAAUCACUUGAUCAAAUGCAAGCUCAAAUCCUGGGAAGGAAGAGAAGCAUGGGAGAGAAUAGCUUUGAAGUGGCUUCUGAAAUGGCGGGAAUGCAAAAGAGGCUGAAUGGAGGAGGGAGGGGGUUGGGGAGGAAGUGGCAGGACCAGAUGUUGACUUUGAGGAGGAAGCCUGGAGAGAGGAAACCCUCCCUCCAUCCCAGCAACAUGAGAAUAGUGGUUGGGGCGUUCCCACUGUGGCAAAGCAAAACGAAUCCGACUAGGAACCAUGAGGUUGCAGGUUCAAUCCCUGGCCUCGCUCAGUGGGUUAAGGAUCCGGCGUUGCCUUGAGCUGUGGUGUAGGUCGCAGACAUGGCUUGGAUCUGGCGUUGCUGUGGCUGUAAAUGUAGGCCGGCAGCUGCUAGGGGUCCAAUCAGAGCUGUAGCCGCUGGCCUACACCACAGCCAUAGCAAAAUGCGAUCCGACCCGUGUCUGCAACCUGCACCACAGCUCACGGCUGUGCCAGAUCCUUAAUACACUGAGUGAGGCCAGAGAUCGAAUCGGUGUCCUCAUGGAUGCUAGCUGGGCUCACUAACCUCUGAGCCACGACGUGAACUCCAUAAAUGGCUCCUUUGAGAGGCCAGUUGGACUUCUGGAAACAUCAACCUAGGCUAGACUCUCUGCAGUUUUUCCAGAGGCCGGGAUGGUUCUCUUUGGCUUGGGCCAGAGAAGAAGCUUGGCCCAGCCUCCUGGGCUGUGAAUCAGGGUGGGUGGAUAUGUGGAGGGCAGUGUUACAGGUGUUUUUCAGUCACCCCCAGAACAGAUCGCCUCACUUCCAGGGUUCUCUCAAAACAAAACAAAACAAAACACAACACAAAACACUCCAUUCCCCCUCGUCUGCCCAGGGCAGUGAGAACUGUUGGCAGCCCUUCUCCGUGCCCGGGCCUUCUCCUGUGUGCUUUUCUGCCAGCCUCUGGGGAAGAUGCAUCCCCACCAUCAUUCAUCAUAACCAAAGUUAUCCUUCCAGAGCAGAGCCUGACCGAUGCAGACUACCACUUUCCUUAGAGCUGGAGACCAGGAACGAAGAGUGGCAGAUGAAUGCCAGUUCCUGGGGCCCCAAAGCCAAGCAGCAACCUGCCAUGUGCCUGUCCCACUCUGGGGGUGGGGCAGAAAGGGUGCGACGGGAGUCUUCCCAGUUAUCUGCUUUGGGACUGGAGCACCAAAGAGCCAGCAUCCAUUCUAGCGCAGAAGUGGGGCUUUAUACCCAUGAUUGCUGAUUGCCUGUCGGCUCUGACUAUCCUUUCUUUCCUCUUUCCCCUUUCCCUUCAUCAUUCCUUUCCCCCCUUCUUUCCUGCCAUCCAAUACAUACUGACUGAUUACUUGCUCUGGGCCAGGUCCUGGGCUAGAAAAGGAGUGUCCAGUUCAACAGAGAGAGAGAAUCAGAUGCUGAUGACAGGACAGUUUGAUGCAUGUAUUGACAGGCAUUCUUAUAGGACCUGUCAGAACCCAGAAUUGGGGCUGGGGGGUGCCACCCAUCCUGACCAGUGUGUGGAGAAGGGGAAGACCCCCGUAGUGAAGCAUCUUGAGGGUUGAGUAGGACUCACCAGCUGGAGGAAGAAGGAGCAGGAUUAGGAUUCUGUGCAUCGGGAGCAGAAGGAAGUCCAGAAGAUGCAUAGCUAUGGCAUAUAUGGAGAGUUCCAAAGGAUCACUUGUUCACUGAGUUUUGGUUCUCUCUCCUGUAAAAUAAGAAUAGUACCAAAGUCAUAGCUGGCACACACAAAACAUCCUUUCUCCCUUUUUUCUCAAUUUAUUUUAUUUUUUUACCAGAAGGUUUUUUGUUUUUGUUUUUGUCUUGUUGUCUUUUUAGGGCCACACUCACAGCAUAUGGAGGUUCCCAGGCUAGGGAUCUAAUUGGAGCUGUAGCCACCGGCCUACACCACAGCCACAGCAAUGCCAGAUCCAAGCCACGUCUGCGACCUACACCACAGCUCAUGGCAACACCAGAUCCUUGACCCACUGAGCACGGCCAGGGAUCGAACCUAUAACCUCAGAGUUCCUAGUCGGAUUCUUUUCCACUGCGCCACGAUGGGAAAUCCCGGAAAGUUUUUUUUUUCUUUUUCUUUUAUUUUUUAUUAUUAUUAUUUUUAACAGUUAUUUCCCCAAUACAAAUUUUUUUCCUACUGUACAGCAUGGUGACCCAGUUACACAUACAUGUACACAUUCUAUUUUUGCACAUUAUCAUCCUCCAUCAUAAGUGACUAGACAUAGUUCCCAGGGCUACACAGCCAGAAAGAUUUCAUAUGAAGAAAUAAUGGCAAUGAGAAGUGGCAUGUGCAAAGUGCUGGAGUCAGGGGACAUCUGAUGGAGGGGAUGGAGCUUUUUGGAGGGGGGGCAGUAUUAAUUGAGGUUGAUAUUUAGGAUUAGGACAAAUUGGCGCAAUUUGAGCAGAUCCUUGCAGGAUGGGAAAGACUCUGGUGGAAAAGACAGAAAAGGGCAUCCUGAAGGGGUCGGUGCAGCGUGAGCAAAGGCACAGGUGUGUUCAGGCACAGGAUGAGGUGUGGUAGCAUUUGUUAGGGACAGAAGAGGUGGGGAUGAGACUGGAAAGGUGGGCUGAGACCACUUUGAUGCCUAACUAGGGGGCACACAGGAGACAUUUUGCCUGAAUGUGUGUUUUGUUGGACAUGCACAGCAUAAAAAAAAAAAGAGAGAGAGAGAAAGAAAAGAGUUAAGUCAAUAUUAAAAGAUCAGAUUUUACAUAAAUCUGCAUUCCUGAUGUCAUUCGGAAAAAAAAAAAAAAUCAGGUCUGGCAACACGAGCCUUGAAUUAAUUCCCACGUGGCCAGAAGGUGAGUGGCCAGAAGACCUGGCCAGAAGGUGAAUGGUGGACAUUCAGGAUGUCCCUGCAGCCCACCGUCACAGGUUGCAUCUCUCCCUGGCCAAUUAGCUUGAAUACUCUCCACCAUUCAAAUCACUCUUGAGUUAAUACAGUAUGUUCAGAAAGCUCCAAAUAAGAUGCUAAUGCAUUACAAGGGAGGAGAAAGAAAAUUCUAAACCAUUAACAUUUUGGUUCCUUUAUUAGAUUCGGGAAUGAAUUUUACAACUCCUUGGGGAAAUUUUAAUUGUGGACUCGCAGUUAGGUGGCAAAAAUGGGAUGCUUGAUGCAUGCUGACUUGAGAAGGAAACUCCAGGAAGUGAAGGGUGGGAGGGGACGCCUGGAAAGCUGGAGUUGAGGGGCCCCGCGGUGAGUCAUUGGAUCCACUGGUCUACACCAUGGAGUCUUUGCUAGGGAUGGACACCCACACACCUGUCCUGGACGAAUCUUUACUGCACUGAAAGACAUUUACCACCUUAUUUUAGUAAACUUUUUGGCUUAAAACAUUGGACUCUUGAAGGACAAGGUGAAAUUCAUGUGGUUUUUUGAUAAAAAAACUAAUGGAAAAGAGAUAAUUUCUUCUACUUUUUCAAUAACUUUUGGAGUGUCUGUGAGCAGGUGGUCUUUAUAAUUUGAAAUACUCAACAAAACCUACUGGAAAUUUUGUAUUAAUAAGUUAUUAAAAAUAUUAUACCAGUUAGUAGCAAACAUUUAAAGUAACAUAAAAGCCUAUGAAGGAGAAAACUCUACAAACUGUCAAGAAUUGGUAGUUAGAGAAUGGGAGAGUUUAGACUGUAUUAUUCUAGAUUUGGCACAAUAUCCAUAUGAGAUCUAACUAUAUCUUUGUAUAGAUCUAGAUAUAUUCACAUAUAUAUCUGGAGAGAAAAAAAAUUUUUUAAUAAAAAUGAGGUUUCCUGGACUUCCUGUCAUAGCUCAGCGGUAACGAAUCCGACUAGUAUCCCUGAGGACACAGGUUCAAUCCCUGGCCUUGCUCAGUGGGUUAAGGAUCCAGGGUUGCCAUGAGCUGUGAUGUAGGUUGUAGAUGAUGCUUGGAUCUGGCGUUGCUGUGGCUGUGGUGCAGGCUGGCAGCUGCAGCUCCAAUUCAACCCCUAGCCUGGGAACUUCCUUACACCACGGGCGUGGCCCUAAAAAGACAAAAAAUAAAAGAGAGAAGAGAGGUUUCCCAUACUGUUCUGCUACGUUUUUCUCCUAAUGCUCCAUCUUGAACAUAUUGCAGAUCAUUCCAUCACCUCUAGGCCUAAAGAGAGUAAGAGCUGGUUUUGAGUUCCCUCUGUGCUCCUCUGAGCUUCCGUUCUCUGCUCUAUAAAAUAGAGGUAAUGAUUCCUUCCUUCAAAGGUUAGGAUGAGAGUUAACUAGAAUGCAAAUGUGCUCAGCACAGCUUAUUGGAUAUUGGGUGAUCAGAGCCCAUCACACCAUCGAGAAAAUGUCUUUCAUUCCUUGGAUUCCUCAUCCUCCACCCUUGGCCCCCUUGGGAGAGGACGGAUGGGAGGCUGUGGGGAAUGAGGCUGAGUCUGGGGUGAAUCACAGCGUUUCAUAAUGGAGUUUAAAAUCCUCCUUUCAGUGCGGAGUCAUGUUAAAAUCUGAAGCAGCUCAUUAACAGAUGCCGCCCGAUUUUGUUUAGGACACUGUCUCUGGGCUCACUUUUAUUUAUUCAGCUGCAGGAGGAUGCCUGAAGCCAGGUAUGUGGAUAGGAAGGCUGUGACCUGGGCCUGCCCUUCGUGGGGGCGCUCUCUUGCCAGUGGGGGAAAGCCAGCCCCUUUGAGUACAAGGGGGAGUCGUACCUUAUCUUUGCAAAAGGCAUCCCCUCCUGCUACUGAUGUUCCCUUUUCCACUUCUCUCCUUCCCUUCUGCCUUUAGAUGACCAUGUGCUUUUUCAUUUGUAUCACACAUUUUUCACAAAGACCUCUUACUCUCGUUAGCUCAUUGAACCCUGGGACAAGUCAAUAGGUUUCAGUCCGUACAACGUGACAGGUGAAGCAGCAGAGGCCCAGAGGACCUGAGAUAGGAGUCCAACUCACGCAGCAAAAAGUGGACAGAUCUGGAUGUCUUGGCUUGCAAGCCAUGCGAGUCGUGCUGUAUCAUGUUCCCUCCUUUUCUAACUGUUGGCAGGAAGCUCCUGAGAGUGAGGGCUGCGGGAGGGGCCCUCAUUCUGGCCAGUGGGGAAGCCUUUCUGGAAUGCCUGAGGUGGUUGGGCUUGGUGUGCUGGGAGGGACUGGUGAGACCAGAUAAAGGGAUGGGUUUGGAGGUCAUCCCAAGGUCAGUGGAGGGGGCGGCGCAGAGCUGGGGAGAAUGGGCUGGUGCAGAGCCUAGACACCAAAGGGGAGGCCAACCUUUGUCACCAUUGGUAGGUUGGUGGGUGUUUUCAACAUUCGGUAUCAUUUUUGAUGUUUGCCCCCCCCCCUUUUUUUUGCCUCAAUCAGUAGCACACCAUAAAAUCCUCUUCCUGUUUCCCACAGAGGACCCCUCUCCUAAUUCAGCUUGCAUCUCCCUCACCCUCUAUAAUCACAUCCAACGAAUCAAAACCUAUCUAUUCUGUUUAGAGCUAUUCAGAUACACUCAUAUGCUUAAACGAGCACACUGGCUGGAUACAUUUAUUUAGCUCGUUUAAUAUCACAGUAGCCUUAUGGACCAGCUCUUCCCAACAGAAAUAUAAUGUGGGAGUUCCCAUCGUGGCGCAGUGGUUAGCGAAUCCGACUAGGAACCAUGAGGUUGCGGGUUCGAUCCCUGCCCUUGCUCAGUGGGUUAACGAUCCGGCGUUGCUGUGAGCUGUGGUGCAGGUUGCAGACGCGGCUCAGAUCCUGCGUUGCUGUGGCUCUGGUGUAGGCCAGUGGCUACAGCUCCGAUUCGACCCCUAGCCUGGGAACCUCCAUAUGCAUUGGGAGCGGCCCAAGAAAUGGCAAAAAGACAAAAAAGACAAAAAAAAAAAAAAAAAAAAAA
This 6631-nucleotide long non-coding RNA is filed under the name Sus scrofa (pig). RNAcentral describes it as "lncRNA (ENSSSCG00005040558.1)". Lineage: Eukaryota; Metazoa; Chordata; Mammalia; Artiodactyla; Suidae. The record is from RNAcentral.